UUAAUGACCGUUGAAGUCUCACUUUGAA
This 28-nucleotide unclassified non-coding RNA is filed under the name Mus musculus (house mouse). RNAcentral's name for it is "oocyte_clustered_small_RNA1554". Lineage: Eukaryota; Metazoa; Chordata; Mammalia; Rodentia; Muridae. The record is from RNAcentral.